RNAcentral lists this ribosomal RNA (175 nucleotides) under uncultured bacterium. RNAcentral's name for it is "partial 16S ribosomal RNA". It matches the Rfam family "Bacterial small subunit ribosomal RNA", at positions 1318 to 1500 of the family's 1533-position model. The record is from RNAcentral.
CCACGAAGCUGGAUUCGCUAGUAAUCGCGCAUCAGCCACGGCGCGGUGAAUACGUUCCCGGGCCUUGUACACACCGCCCGUCAAGCCAUGGGAGCCGGGAGUGCCUGAAGUACGUGACCGCAAGGAGCGUCCUAGGGUAAGACCGGUGACUGGGGCUAAGUCGUAACAAGGUAUC